UGUAACUAUUUAGUUAUGGCAAAUGGUGCCUAAUCUGUCCUGAGUGGCAUUGCUGCGUGACUGACAUGGAGGCGCAGCCAAUGAGCGCGAGCAGAGUGCUCCGCCUCGACCAAUCGGGUUGUGCGCGUGGAGUCAGUGGAAGAAAUUCGCCGGAAACCAGUGGCAGUGAGUCCAACCUGACCACGAACACCCCAGGCCACGUGGGCUGCAGAUAUUUAGUCUGUACAUCCAACUCCUCUGUUGUGGAGAAAUGUCGCCUGGAAAGUUAGGACAUUUAAAUCAUACGUUUGCCAAGAAAAGCAGAUGGAGUGACAAAAAAUACUAACGCUGGAUCUUGUUUCUAAUAUUCUUCUCAUCAUUAUGUGGAUUCGCUAUUGUUUUCUGUUAUAUUCAUAUGCCGCAUGCUAUUAAUAAGUGGUACAAUGUGGCCACAGUUAUAGGAAGUGAGAACGUGCGGGAGUUUGUGGUCCUAUUUUCGCUGUUCGCGGCGGAAGAACACUAUGUUUUCAGUGAGGAGUAACGGGAGCGUCACUGUGACAGACAGGCGCAUGUGACAUCUUGACAAUAGCAACACUUGGACAAAAGUGACUGCUGCUGGAGAACUGGAGUUUUCAGAAAGCUCCAGCCGACAUUUCCUUUAAACUGAUUUCAUUUUCCUACCCUGAACGGGAUGUGCGUUAUUAGUCUGCGUCACAUUACGUCAGCGUGACAAUGGGAUUUAAAGUAAUAAGGCUUAAUCAUGAGAUGGAAUAGCUUUAAACAGUAGAAUAUUAGUUAAAAGUUGUUUACAGUGCAGAUAAUUCAGAGAUUUAAGCAUCAAAAUAAAUAACAUACUGUUUUAUAAUAAUAAUAAAUAAAAAAUAAUAAGAAUAAGAAUAAAAAACACCAAUAAAAUCGUUUAAAAAAAAUAAAAGUACAAAAGGUUUUGGCAGAAUAAUAAAAAGAAAAAUAUUUACAGACGUUAUAUGCUGACAAAACACAAAAAGAACAAAAUGGAAUUAAAACAAGAUUAAGAAAGGGCCAUUAGAAAGAAAGCUGACAGAUUAAGCUGUAUUUAGAUUCUUUUGGAGAAUAUUUAAAUUGUGGAUAAUUUUGGAAACAACGGUUUGGGCAAGUUGCACAUAUGUAGAAUAAAACAUCUGCCUAUU
Long non-coding RNA from Girardinichthys multiradiatus, 1148 nucleotides. RefSeq lists it as uncharacterized. The record is from RefSeq and is a predicted model, not a curated record. The transcript is spliced from 2 exons. NCBI's taxonomy places the organism in Eukaryota, Metazoa, Chordata, Actinopteri, Cyprinodontiformes, Goodeidae.